GAUAAAAUCCCAUAGAAAUUUGUAAAAAGGUGACAGAUAAGACUUGAUAGGGAAACCUUUAGAAGUCAGGGGCAUUGUUUGAUCAGUAUAGGCCAUGGUUUUAAACAGAUCAAUAGUGUAUUGAGAAGAGGUGUAACACCCCGACCCCAAAUCUCCCCAUAUUUUACCCUUAUUUAAUUAUUUAAUUAUUUAAGGGUAUUUUAGUCAUAUUUUUAACCGGAGAGAGUUUGGGACCGUGACUUGUAUUUUUGGAUAGGUCGUACUGAGACGAGUUCAUAGACACGUAGUGGGCUCGAAUCGGAGUUGUAACGAGAGAGAUAUGGUCAAAAGAAGCCCAGUGGCAUAAUCGUAAAUAUUUCAAAAUGGGAUUUUUUAUAAAAUCUGAUUUUUCUAUCUCUCUCUCUCUCUCUCUCUCUCUCUCUCUCUCUCUCUCUCUCCCGCGACCUCUCCCUCUCUCCCGUCAGCUCUCCCUCUCUCUCUCCUCACAACUCCAGCCACCGACCACGGCUGUGGAUGGGGCCGGUACCAAAAUGACCGGGGCGUCGUCCUCUUCCAGCCCAGCCGUCUCCCGCCUCCAGCCGCCGCGGUUUCGCCGGAAAAUGGAGGAGAAGCGGCCGGGGUCGUCCGAUCUUCGCCGCCGUCGAUCUCCCUCCUCCGGCCACCAAAUCCGACGAGCAAGGUAUGGUUUCUCACCUAUUUUUCAUGCUCUAGCUGCCUGUUGGGUAGGAUUAGAUCGAUUCUUAGUGUAGACAACUCGAUUUUCGAAUUGAAAAUCGGCCAAACUUCGGCCGCCGUGAUCGGCCAUUUUCGGCCACUUUUUGGGGUAGGUCCAAGAACAAAAGUGGCUCCAAAUAGGGUGUUAUACCUAGGGUAGGAGUUUGGAGCCGUGGUUUUGAGAUUUUCCGACAAAGCGUUAUCGCUUUGGGCACCCACGCGCUGCCGGCGCGUGCGGCGGCGCGUGGGCACUGUAGAAAAGUAGCAAUGUGUUCCGAUGAGAUCCUUAGGUUGUCACGAGUGCGUAGGAUUUUGCGGAUCUCAAUUCGAACGUCGUUUGACUAUCGAACGGAUAUUCGCAUAUUGUGCGUUAUCCGGGUUCGAUAGGUUGGGACCGUUGGAUGGUCCCAAGUUUAAUAUAUGUUAAUCUAGGUAUUUCUAGGAUCGUGUAGGAAUUCACGGAUCGUAAAUCGGAGCCCCGGAUGUUCCGAAUAAUAAUUUUAAAGUUUAUAUUUUAUAUUAACCGUCAGAUCGUGCGAUCGUGAGCGAUCCGACCGUCCGAUCUGAACCAAACUUGCAGGACAAGUGUCCUGUACCUGGUAGAACCCAUAGGGACUUUCUGAUCGGAAAUUGGAGGUCGUGGGUUCCGCAGGUCCGUUUGACCAGGGUUAGAGUAGUUUGACCCUUGGUUGACCGUGAGUCUCCCGGAGUAAUCUCACCUUUCCAAGGGAGAUUAUGGAGUGCUAUACGUACUACUUUAGGUACCUCCCCGGAUGUUGGAUUCACUACAAGUACCACCAAGUGAAAAUUAGGUCCCGCGUGGCGUAGGUUAUCCGGCGUUGGGACAGGCCCCAUCCGUGGCAUUGGUUGUACCGGCGUAUGGGGAGAUAUGUAAUAUGAUGUUCAAGUCUCACGUGGCGUAGGUUAUCCGGCGUUGAGACAGGCCCCAUACGUGGCGUUGGUUGUACCGGCGUAUGGGGAGAUUUGUGAUAUGAAUAUUGAGGUCUCGCGUGGCGUAGGUUAUCCGGCGUUGGGACAGGCCUCAUACGUGGCGUUGGUUGUACCAGCGUAUGGGGAGAUAUUAUGAUAGUAUGGCAUGGUCGCACGUGGCAUAGGUUAUCCGGUGUGUUGACAGGCCCCAUACGUGGCGUUGGUUGUACCGGCGUAUGGGGACAUUAUAUGAAAUCCAGAGAAAUGAAAUAAGGUAUCGCCCAAGUGUGGAAUUGGGUUCUAGGGAAGAACUACGUGUGGCUUGAUCCCUCAAGGAGGGUACGUAGGCAGCCUAAGGUUAUUAGGUGCAGCCGCAGACUAAAUAUUAGUCAUAAUUUGUAUUUGAAUUGUAUGGUGGUUGUUUGAGAAUUAUUGGAAGGCCGAAGGCCAUUUAUGAGAAUUUGCAUGAAAUUAUAUUGUGCAUGCUGCCAGUUGGGAAUAUUAAAUGCGUUUUCAUGCAGGUAUAAAUUUUGGGAAAUGUCCAAUUUAUCGGGGAGACUCUGCCGAAUUUUCGGCAGGAAGUCUCGGUUUUUAGUAUUUGGGCCUGGCAUCGGGAGGAUGUCGGGAAUUCCAAAGGGUUCGCCUCGGGUUCUGAAAAAUUCGGGGCGGGUCCUUUCAAGAGGCAAGGGCAAAUUGAUCAGAAUCAAAACCAGGGCAAGACUGAAAACCUAAAACCCUAUUAAUCACAGAGGGUUUCAGAGUAAUGGGCACAGAACGAACAACACACUGAUAAUUAGACCCCUUAGGAUCAGCAGGAAAAUUCUAGUAAAACUCCUUAACAACAGAAGCAUUGAACUUACCAGACAGAGUGUUGAGAGAUUGGAGAUGGUAGUGCUCAAAAAUCUGAGUUGCAGAACCCUGGGCCGCCAAGGGGAGAUCAUCAAGUUGGUAAGUUCUCUCAGGCACAAAUUUCCUCUUAGAGACAACACCAUCAAAGAACGAGGCCGCCUCAGGAGACACAAAUGGGGAGGAGUCUCCAGCGGGAACAGAGGGAGAAGAACGAGUCCUAGAAGCCCUAGGAAUGGAGGGCAUAAAAUCCGCUCUGUCAGUGGACUUGGAUUUGGAGCGACGCUAGUAAGUGAGGAAAGGCGCGGAGGACGACAUGGUGUAUAGCGGGAAGAGAACGGAAGAGAAAAAAAAUGCAGAGGGAAGAAGGGGCGAAAGGGACUAACACAGAGGGAGAAGGGGAAGCGAGGCUUGGGUCUGUGUCAGAAGAGAACAGAGAGAGAACGGGAGAGAAAAAGAGGACGAACAAAGAGGAGGGAAACAGACCUAAAGAAGAAAAAGAAAAGAAAAACGAAAACGGACCCCAAGAAAAAAAAUUAAAAAAAAAUAACCGCAGAAGGCGUAUCGUUCAGUGAGGACUUAGUCAACCAUAAGGAGCAUGAUGACUAGUCAACCCAGGCAAUAACAAAACACAAGCAGAACUAGAUGACUAGGCAACCAAAAGAAUGACGACUAGGCAACUAAGGCAAUACCAUGACGAGCAUCAAAUAUAACACAACCGGAUGACUAGGCAACCACAAGCAUAGAUGACUAGUCAACUAAAGCAAUAUCAAGAGACGCAUCAAAGAUAGUAUCGACCCUGUGGAAGACAAGAUUGUGGGUUUGGAAGAGAAAAAGAAAACAAACAUGAACUAGCAAAUAUAUCAAGUGAUCAACGAUGUAUUAGCUACUAUAGCCUAGUCCAAGUCUUCAAGCACAGGAAGGAACAGAAAGAGAAGAAAACCAGAUGUGCAAACAAAAACAAGUGCAACUAACUCUGACAGAUAGAAAAUGAAUUAGAUUUUAUGCUCAGAGAUAAGGCAAAAUGGACAGAGGAGGUUCAGAGCCAAAAGAGGAACACAAGAGAUGAAUACCCCUCCUGGAGAGACAAGUAUGAAAUAAACCUUCAAGACAAACUCAAGGAAUAAACCCAACCUAUUUGAUUUUCAUCACUCAAUCUGGACAUUUAUUAUUCUUGUUAUUUGCACAUCCCAGACUUAAGUGCUUAAGUGGACCAAUUUUGCGGCUCUUGCUCUAGAUUCUUCAAUCAUAACACCUUAU
Molecule: long non-coding RNA, 3750 nt
Filed under: Prunus persica (peach)
Lineage: Eukaryota; Viridiplantae; Streptophyta; Magnoliopsida; Rosales; Rosaceae
Description: long non-coding RNA (PPER_LNC000281)
Source: RNAcentral